UACGAAGGGGGCUAGCGUUGUUCGGAAUUACUGGGCGUAAAGCGCACGUAGGCGGAUUUGUUAGUCAGGGGUGAAAUCCCGGGGCUCAACCUCGGAACUGCCUUUGAUACUGCAAGUCUCGAGUCCGGAAGAGGGGAGUGGAAUUCCUAGUGUAGAGGUGAAAUUCGUAGAUAUUAGGAAGAACACCAGUGGCGAAGGCGGCUCACUGGCCCGGUACUGACGCUGAGGCGCGAAAGCGUGGGGAGCAAACAGG
This 253-nucleotide ribosomal RNA is filed under the name uncultured bacterium. RNAcentral describes it as "partial 16S ribosomal RNA". It matches the Rfam family "Bacterial small subunit ribosomal RNA", at positions 524 to 776 of the family's 1533-position model. The record is from RNAcentral.